This 255-nucleotide ribosomal RNA is filed under the name Escherichia coli. RNAcentral's name for it is "partial 23S ribosomal RNA". It matches the Rfam family "Bacterial large subunit ribosomal RNA", at positions 2535 to 2789 of the family's 2925-position model. The record is from RNAcentral. Lineage: Bacteria; Pseudomonadati; Pseudomonadota; Gammaproteobacteria; Enterobacterales; Enterobacteriaceae.
GCUCAUCACAGCCUGGGGCUGAAGUAGGUCCCAAGGGUAUGGCUGUUCGCCAUUUAAAGUGGUACGCGAGCUGGGUUUAGAACGUCGUGAGACAGUUCGGUCCCUAUCUGCCGUGGGCGCUGGAGAAUUGAGGGGGGCUGCUCCUAGUACGAGAGGACCGGAGUGGACGCAUCACUGGUGUUCGGGUUGUCAUGCCAAUGGCACUGCCCGGUAGCUAAAUGCGGAAGAGAUAAGUGCUGAAAGCAUCUAAGCACG